Molecule: non-coding RNA, 994 nt
Organism: Schizosaccharomyces pombe (fission yeast)
Lineage: Eukaryota; Fungi; Ascomycota; Schizosaccharomycetes; Schizosaccharomycetales; Schizosaccharomycetaceae
Source: the annotation of a GenBank genome assembly
AGCAAUAGCGCUUGUUUUAUAAAAAUUUUCCAAAAUGCUUGUUAAAGAAUCGAUUUCUUCUUUUGUAGUAUCAAAGACUCGAUACCAGUCUUUGGGUAAUUUCAUACCGAUAACUCUAGCUGCCAUUGCGAUGCAGCCGCAUGCCAAACUAAACGGAGGAUACAAAACGCAAAGUCGAGUUCGGCUAGCAUCGUUUAAAAAAUUCCAUGUUAUUUGUAAAAGCUUUUUGUUAUCAAUUAGCUGUAAUGUUUGUAGAUAAUGAAUUGCCAGCUUGUGAGGAAUGACAAUAUGGGUAUCAAAAUUCAAUGCUCGUAAGACCUCCAAUUCCAUGUUUGAUAAUCUAUUCCUGGAACUAUACAUCUCCUCACUGUACAAAUCGUGAGCAAUGAAUCCUCGUGCUUCAAAAUUCGUGUCCUUGAAACGCUCUUUAAGAUAGACUACAACAUUACAUAUGUCUUGUACAGAAGCUGGAGUUUCGGUAGUUUUACUUCCAAUGGACACACAAGCCAUAACGAUAGCAUCAAGAUCGGGAACUCUCGGCGGAUAAAGUGUGCAGUAUCUUCGAAACAAAAUCAAACAAACAAUUACACAAUUUUGAGUUCUAACAAUGUUAAUAAAAAGUUCAAAUGCAUUUUAUCGCCACAAUCCGGCUACUAAAAGCUUUGGAAAAUAAAUGUAAGAAGACUUACAGAUUCAAAAGAACGCCUGCUUCCUGAAUCCAUUCAGAACCUAAUGUACAUAGUUCCUCUGCAUAUUCAAAAGAAUCAAAGGCUUCUAACUGGGAAGAAGAGGCAAGGGAAUGUACCAAAGAAUCUGCCAUCAGAAUAUUCCUCAAGAAUCAGAAUUAUUUACUUAACCGAAAACACGAUAUUCCCAUACCCCGUUCAUGACCUGCGUUUUUGCAUAAGAAUACGGUGGGAGUUUCGCUGAGCGAUUGUUGUCACUUAGAGCAAAUUAUUGCUACUUGUAGCAAAUUGCACCAUUAAAUAAAAGG